This 88-nucleotide transfer RNA is filed under the name Gemmatimonas sp. SG8_38_2. RNAcentral's name for it is "tRNA-Ser". It matches the Rfam family "tRNA". Rfam says of the family: Transfer RNA (tRNA) molecules are approximately 80 nucleotides in length. Their secondary structure includes four short double-helical elements and three loops (D, anti-codon, and T loops). Lineage: Bacteria; Pseudomonadati; Gemmatimonadota; Gemmatimonadia; Gemmatimonadales; Gemmatimonadaceae. The record is from RNAcentral.
GGACGGGUGGCCGAGUGGUUUAAGGCGCACGCCUGGAGAGCGUGUGGGCGCCGAAAGCGCCUCGUGGGUUCGAAUCCCACCCCGUCCG